AAGAAAAAAGAAAAAAAGAGACAAAACCCAAAUGAACCGAUGUUAAUUAAACAAUACAUGUGAUUAUAAGGAAGCAGUCGAAAUUCGGGUCAUGAAUUCUAAAAGUAUUUUUUUUUUUUGGGUAUGAAACUGUAAAUUGUGGAGAAGAGUCAAGUUUAGGGAAGAAGUAAUCGUUUAGAUGGUUUUAGGGUAGGAGAUUAGAUUUAUAAUUGUGAUUUCUUUUUCUUUUUUAAUAAUACAUGCCUAAAAUAUUUGAUGUGAAACAUAAAUUAAUAUGAGUGUAUAUUAAGAGAUUAGGGGUGUGUAUUUACACUACCAGGACAAUCACUUUAGCCGACGAAAAAUUUUUGUCGGCCUGUUAGCUUAAUUCAUCGGCUAAGAUCUUAGCCGACGAGCCAUCGUCGGCUAAGAUUUCGUCGGGAAAAGGUCGUCUGUGAUGACUUUCGCCGACGAAAAAAAAAAUUUCGUCGGCUAUAGUCCCGCAGUUUAGCCGACGAAAAACAUGUCGUCGGUUCUUUUCCCAGACUUUAUCCGACGAAACAAUUAAGAUAUUCGUCUGCUAAAGUCUGUAAUAAAAAAAAAUUUCCCAGACUAUAACCGACGAAAUAUAGUAUGUUUCGUCGGCUAAACCUUAUAAAAAUAAUUUAAAAAAUAACUCUAGCCGACAAAAUAUAGUCUGUUUCAUCGGCUAAACCUUAUAAAAAAUUUUAAAAAAUAACUAUAGCCGACGAAAUAUAGUCUGUUUCGUCGGCUAAACCUUAUAAAAAAAAUUUAAAAAAUAACUAUACCCGACGAAAUAUGCCAUAAUUCGUCGGCUAAACCUUAUAAAAAAAUUUAAAAAUACUAUAGCCGACGAAUAAACCUUUAAAUAUCGUCGGCUAAACCUUUAAAUAUCGUCGGCUAAAGUUGCUGGUUUUUGAAAAAAAAAACUGCAGAAACUUUCGGCCACCUCCAAUCACCACCAAAAUUUGACAGAAUCUUCCUCUCAACAUUUCGAACAACUUUCUAGAAGAAGUCGAAGCCCAAUUCUAAGCCUAAACAGGUCAAUUGAAUCAAAAUAUAAAAAUCCCCAAUUUUAAACCCUAAAAACUUCAAAUCUUCGAUUCUCCUCACACACACCGAAUCGAGCUACCAAAUUCUAGGAGAAUGUAGUACUAAUCAAAGUCAACUUAUCCAUAUAUAGAACUCACCAAAUGGUGACCUGAGGAAGGAGAAAUUCGAUCGACACCGAAUCCGAACCGACGGAGUUUUGGAGCUCGAUUUAUCUCUCACGGCGGCGCCACUCGAUGUACCACCUGUCCAGCAAUGAAGUAGAGACGACGGCGAUAGUUUUGGGACAAGUGUGGCGGUCUCCGGUGGCUUCACGGCGGAGCUAGGCCGAGAAGAAAAUCUGGCAGGCGAAAUAGAUUUCUUACCAUCCACCUUCGGUAAUAUAUAGAACUUUAGCCGACGAAAUUCUUUAUUUUCGUCGGCUAAACUCUUUUGAAAAUUUUGAAAAUUUUAGUUGACCGCCAAAAAAUUUUGGUUGAAAAUUUUGAAAAUUUUUCGACUUUAGCCGACGACUUUUCAUAUAUUUUCGUCGGCUAAAGUCCUUUGAAAAUUUUCCUCCAAAUUUGGUUUACCGCCCAAAAAUUUUUGUCCUUCGCCGACGACUUUUUUAAUAUCUCGUCGGCUAAAAUCUAUAAACUCACGAAAACGCUUAUAUCUCCCUCUAUAUUACGUAGUUUGGUCAAACCUUCCACACGAAAAACUUUCACGUAGAUGAGACGCAACCGCCUAUAUAAAAAUUUUGAGACAUUUACCUUCCGACGAUAGGGCUUCCCAUAGUGAAUAAUAACGGUAAAUAGGGUUGACCACUACUAUCGGCACCGAGACUUUACCCGAUUUACGUGAUUUUUGAACCAUAGCCGUAUUUCACCAUUCUGAACACAUCUUAUUUCAGGAGAUUUUUGAUAAUUUUGCUUCCUAUGUAGAGUUGGUUCACAAAAUUGUAUAACCUACUAAACAAGUUAUACAACAUUAGUAGACACGUUGUGAUUCCGAUGACUAAAAUUCACAAACCAAAAUUCGACCGUCCGAUAUGAUCAUUAUGACGAAAGAUGUCUAUGGUAAAAAAUUCAACUGGAUCCGACAACGUUAAGGACUCGAUCGAAACGGUUAACCCUAAUCCAUCGUCACUUAUCACACGAAAACGCUCAUAUCUCCCUCUAUAUUACGUGGUUUGGACAAACCUUCCACACAAAAAACUCUCACGUAGAUGAGACACAACUGCCCAUAUACAAAUUUUGAGACAUUUACCUUCCGACGAUAGGGCUCCCCAUAGGGAAUAAUAACGGUAAAUAGUAGACACGUUGUGAUUCCGAUGACUAAAAUUUACAAACCAAAAUUCGACCGUCCGAUAUGAUCAUUAUGAAGAAAGAUGUCUAUGGUAAAAAAUUCAACUGGAUCCGACAAGGUUAAGGACUCGAUCGAAACGGUUAACCCUAAUCCAUCGUCACUUAUCACACGAAAACGCUCAUAUCUCCCUCUAUAUUACGUGGUUUGGACAAACCUUCCACACAAAAAACUCUCACGUAGAUGAGACACAACUGCCCAUAUACAAAUUUUGAGACAUUUACCUUCCGACGAUAGGGCUCCCCAUAGGGAAUAAUAACGGUAAAUAGUAGACACGUUGUGAUUCCGAUGACUAAAAUUUACAAACCAAAAUUCGACCGUCCGAUAUGAUCAUUAUGAAGAAAGAUGUCUAUGGUAAAAAAUUCAACUAGAUUCGACAACGUUAAGGGCUCGAUCGAAACAGUCAACUCUAAUCGGAAAUAAGAAAACUGCAUUUUGAAGCCCUAAACGGACUCGGAUGGCCAAAAAGGCCCAUACAUCAUAGCAUUAGCAAUGAGUUUGACUCGUAGGGCCGUUACGCUUCCGGAAAGGUAUCACAAUAGUCAAUCGGACACCAAAAACCAAAUCUGUAACAUAGUGAAUAAUAAGGGUAAAUUGCAUUGACCGCAACUAUCGGCACCGAGACUUUACCGGAAUACCGUGAUUUUUCAACCGUGGACGUAUUUCACCAUUCUGGUCAUAUCUUAUUUCACAACUAUUUUGCGUUUGAAGGUUCUACGUACAGUUUUUUUUUUCCCAGAUGAGUUGUUGUCUAGAUCUGCAAAUAUAAAGCACUUUAGCCGACGAAAUUAUAUUUUUCGUCGGCUAAACUUUUAAAAAUUUCGUCAGCUAAAGUUCACAG
This 3235-nucleotide long non-coding RNA is filed under the name Fragaria vesca (wild strawberry). RNAcentral's name for it is "long non-coding RNA (FVES_LNC003390)". Lineage: Eukaryota; Viridiplantae; Streptophyta; Magnoliopsida; Rosales; Rosaceae. The record is from RNAcentral.